GAUAACGAGUUUCUGGCCCCCAAGCAUUGACAGCGACGUGGCUUUUUGAUCCUUCGAUAUCGGCUUUUCCUAUCAUUGUGAAGCAAAAUCAACAAGCGUUUUAUGGCUCAACAACUAAUAGAGAACGCUAGCUGGGCUAAAGCCGUCGUGAGCCAGGUA
Molecule: non-coding RNA, 159 nt
Filed under: Schistocephalus solidus
Lineage: Eukaryota; Metazoa; Platyhelminthes; Cestoda; Diphyllobothriidea; Diphyllobothriidae
Description: Eukaryotic large subunit ribosomal RNA
Rfam family: Eukaryotic large subunit ribosomal RNA
Source: Rfam by way of RNAcentral